GACGAACGCUGGCGGCGUGCCUAAUACAUGCAAGUAGAACGCUGAAGAGAGGAGCUUGCUCUUCUUGGAUGAGUUGCGAACGGGUGAGUAACGCGUAGGUAACCUGCCUUGUAGCGGGGGAUAACUAUUGGAAACGAUAGCUAAUACCGCAUAACAAUGGAUUACCCAUGUCAUUUAUUUGAAAGUGGCAAAUGCUCCACUACAAGAUGGACCUGCGUUGUAUUAGCUAGUAGGUGAGGUAACGGCUCACCUAGGCGACGAUACAUAGCCGACCUGAGAGGGUGAUCGGCCACACUGGGACUGUGACACGGCCCAGACUCAUACGGGAGGCAGCAGUAGGGAAUCUUCGGCAAUGGGGGCAACCCUGACCGAGCAACGCCGCGUGAGUGAAGAAGGGUUUCGGAUCGUAAAGCUCUGUUGUAAGUCAAGAAUGAGUGUGAGAGUGGAAAGUUCACACUGUGACGGUAGCUUACCAGAAAGGGACGGCUAACUACGUG
This 497-nucleotide ribosomal RNA is filed under the name uncultured bacterium. RNAcentral describes it as "partial 16S ribosomal RNA". It matches the Rfam family "Bacterial small subunit ribosomal RNA", at positions 28 to 507 of the family's 1533-position model. The record is from RNAcentral.